This 615-nucleotide ribosomal RNA is filed under the name uncultured yeast. RNAcentral describes it as "eukaryotic LSU rRNA". It matches the Rfam family "Eukaryotic large subunit ribosomal RNA", at positions 38 to 667 of the family's 3401-position model. Lineage: Eukaryota; Fungi. The record is from RNAcentral.
GCAUAUCAAUAAGCGGAGGAAAAGAAACCAACCGGGAUUGCCUUAGUAACGGCGAGUGAAGCGGCAAAAGCUCAAAUUUGAAAUCUGGUACCUUCGGUGCCCGAGUUGUAAUUUGGAGAGGGCAACUUUGGGGCCGUUCCUUGUCUAUGUUCCUUGGAACAGGACGUCAUAGAGGGUGAGAAUCCCGUGUGGCGAGGAGUGCGGUUCUUUGUAAAGUGCCUUCGAAGAGUCGAGUUGUUUGGGAAUGCAGCUCUAAGUGGGUGGUAAAUUCCAUCUAAAGCUAAAUAUUGGCGAGAGACCGGUAGCGAACAAGUACAGUGAUGGAAAGAUGAAAAGAACUUUGAAAAGAGAGUGAAAAAGUACGUGAAAUUGUUGAAAGGGAAGGGCAUUUGAUCAGACAUGGUGUUUUGUGCCCUCUGCUCCUUGUGGGUAGGGGAAUCUCGCAUUUCACUGGGCCAGCAUCAGUUUUGGUGGCAGGAUAAAUCCAUAGGAAUGUAGCUUGCCUCGGUAAGUAUUAUAGCCUGUGGGAAUACUGCCAGCUGGGACUGAGGACUGCGACGUAAGUCAAGGAUGCUGGCAUAAUGGUUAUAUGCCGCCCGUCUUGAAACACGGACC